Molecule: long non-coding RNA, 630 nt
Organism: Cavia porcellus (domestic guinea pig)
Lineage: Eukaryota; Metazoa; Chordata; Mammalia; Rodentia; Caviidae
Exons: 2
Source: RefSeq, a predicted model, not a curated record
CAGAGUGCCCGGAGGUUAACCUGUUAGGUGCUGUCUUGUAGUGAGUACCGUCUCCGUCCUCCUCGGGGGUAAGACGGCGAGAGGCGAGUCCGGGAGUUAGCAUUCCCCAGCUCAAGCUUCCCAGGCCCAGUUAGGGGGUUUCGGACGUGUCGCUCUCGAGGGGCAGCCCCCAAGUUUGGCAAAACUUCUCGCUUCAGAGCCUGCGGUCUACUUUCAGGCUUCCCAGCAAGGCCUCCGGUCUAAAGAUUUGCCUUCCAAUACUAAACCCUUCACUGCCUGGCGCACCCGUCCGUCCCGCUCCACUCCUGACCCUUCCCGCCGGGUCCCGAGAGCGCCCCUAGCUGUUCAGAGGCGGAACUGGGUCCCAGGGUGACUCGCACUGAACUGUUUUGUUAUCUCCACCCCUAAGUGCCAACACAAAUAAGAGCAUCACUUUUUCUUAUUAAAUUUAUUCACAAAAAGUGAGAUUGUAGAGGUUCUGGGGACUGUACAUGGUUAAGGGACUGGUGAGCUCUAUACACGGGGCUGGGAGAGAAGGGAGCCUCCAGGUAGAAGUGUAAUCUUUAUUAAAAAAAAUAAUGGGAGCUACAACCACCCCCUCCCCCCUCCCCGAUUAAAAAGACACAAAAA